UAUCAAUUCAAUGUUCUGAAGAAACAGCAAGGACAUCAGAGAUGGCUGACAAUGUUAGACCCUCCUUAUAUAUUGAAAACAACAGUUUGAAACAGACAGCUGGCACCAAGCCAAUGGUUAAAGAAACUGGGGAAACAGCCUCUCAGUUGCAAGGGUCAAUCCAGUGUUAUGAAGAAACAGCAAGGACAUCAUCAGAGAUGCAUGACAAUAAUAAAUCAUCGUCAUCUAUUGGAAACGCGACUUUA
Xenia sp. Carnegie-2017 is the source of this 245-nucleotide long non-coding RNA. RefSeq lists it as uncharacterized. The transcript has 4 exons. The record is from RefSeq and is a predicted model, not a curated record. NCBI's taxonomy places the organism in Eukaryota, Metazoa, Cnidaria, Anthozoa, Malacalcyonacea, Xeniidae.